Molecule: ribosomal RNA, 253 nt
Filed under: uncultured bacterium
Lineage: Bacteria
Description: partial 16S ribosomal RNA
Rfam family: Bacterial small subunit ribosomal RNA
Source: RNAcentral
GACAGAGGGUGCAAGCGUUGUUCGGAAUUAUUGGGCGUAAAGCGCGUGUAGGCGGCUUUGCAAGUCGGGUGUGAAAUCCCUCAGCUUAACUGAGGAAGUGCGCCCGAAACUGCAGAGCUUGAGUACCGGAGAGGGUGGCGGAAUUCCCCAAGUAGAGGUGAAAUUCGUAGAUAUGGGGAGGAACACCGGUGGCGAAGGCGGCCACCUGGACGGAUACUGACGCUGAGACGCGAAAGCGUGGGGAGCAAACAGG